AGCUCCAAUAGCGUAUAUUAAAGUUGUUGCAGUUAAAAAGCUCGUAGUCGCAUUUCUGGCGAGAGGAUCCGGUCCGACCUUUUGGUGGGUUCUUGGGUCUCUUUCGCCAUCCUUGAGUGGUCCGUUCUGGCAUUAGGUUGUCGGAGCGUCAGCCGCUCAUCGUUUACUGUGAGAAAAUUAGAGUGUUCAAAGCAGGCUUAUGCCGUUGAAUAUAUUAGCAUGGAAUAAUAAGAUAGGACCUCGGUACUAUUUUGUUGGUUUGCGCACCAAGGUAAUGAUGAACAGGGACAGUUGGGGGUAUUUGUAUUUCGUUGUCAGAGGUGAAAUUCUUAGAUUUACGAAAGACAAACUACUGCGAAAGCAUUUACCAAGGAUGUUUUCA
This 382-nucleotide ribosomal RNA is filed under the name uncultured marine Chaetocerotaceae. Its description in RNAcentral is "SSU rRNA". It matches the Rfam family "Eukaryotic small subunit ribosomal RNA", at positions 587 to 972 of the family's 1831-position model. The record is from RNAcentral. Lineage: Eukaryota; Bacillariophyta; Thalassiosirophyceae; Chaetocerotales; Chaetocerotaceae.